RNAcentral lists this ribosomal RNA (496 nucleotides) under uncultured Nocardioides sp. RNAcentral's name for it is "bacterial SSU rRNA". It matches the Rfam family "Bacterial small subunit ribosomal RNA", at positions 8 to 507 of the family's 1533-position model. The record is from RNAcentral. Lineage: Bacteria; Bacillati; Actinomycetota; Actinomycetes; Propionibacteriales; Nocardioidaceae.
AGAGUUUGAUCCUGGCUCAGGACGAACGCUGGCGGCGUGCUUAACACAUGCAAGUCGAGCGGUAAGGCCCUUUCGGGGGUACACGAGCGGCGAACGGGUGAGUAACACGUGAGUAAUCUGCCCUUCACUUCGGGAUAACCAUCGGAAACGGUGGCUAAUACCGGAUAUGACCAAGUCUUGCAUGAGAUCUUGGUGGAAAGUUUUUUCGGUGGAGGAUGUGCUCGCGGCCUAUCAGCUUGUUGGUGAGGUAACGGCUCACCCAAGGCUUCGACGGGGUAGCCGGCCUGAGAGGGUGACCGGCCACACUGGGACUGAGACACGGCCCAGACUCCUACGGGAGGCAGCAGUGGGGAAUAUUGGACAAUGGGCGAAAGCCUGAUCCAGCAACGCCGCGUGAGGGAUGACGGCCUUCGGGUUGUAAACCUCUUUCAGCACCGACGAAGCGCCUUUAACGGUGGUGACGGUAGGUGCAGAAGAAGGACCGGCCAACUACGUG